GACGAACGCUGGCGGCGUGCUUAACACAUGCAAGUCGAACGGAAAGGCCCUGCUUUUGUGGGGUGCUCGAGUGGCGAACGGGUGAGUAACACGUGAGUAACCUGCCCUUGACUUUGGGAUAACUUCAGGAAACUGGGGCUAAUACCGGAUAGGAGCUCCUGCUGCAUGGUGGGGGUUGGAAAGUUUCGGUGGUUGGGGAUGGACUAGCAGGUUACGAGCUUGUUUGGGGGGUAGGGGCUGACGAAGCCUUCGACGGGUAGCCGGCCUGGGAGGGGUGCCGGCGACAUGGGGACUAAGGUAGGGCGCAGAAGCCUACGGGAGGCAGUAGUGGGGAAUAUGACACAGUAGGCGGACGUCAGAUGCAGCAGCGCCGCGAGCGGGAUGACGGCCUUCGGGGUGUAAACAGCUUUCGCCUGUAACGAAGAGUGAGUGACGGUAAUGGGUAAAGAAGCACCGGCUAACUACGUG
Molecule: ribosomal RNA, 468 nt
Filed under: uncultured bacterium
Lineage: Bacteria
Description: partial 16S ribosomal RNA
Rfam family: Bacterial small subunit ribosomal RNA
Source: RNAcentral